Molecule: long non-coding RNA, 6331 nt
Filed under: Cricetulus griseus (Chinese hamster)
Lineage: Eukaryota; Metazoa; Chordata; Mammalia; Rodentia; Cricetidae
Description: lncRNA (ENSCGRG00015029573.1)
Source: RNAcentral
UAAGAUUCUAAAGCAUCCAACAGGCUCACUAACAGGGGAAAUAAAAAGGAAUGAGAUGAAAUUUAAUAGGAACAAAUUGUAAUCUACAUUUCAAAGCAUCAAAAAAAAACCCUGAAGAUUGCAAUGGAUCAGCAAAAUGAAUACCAAUAACUACAUAGAUGAAAUACAAGGCUUGGGGACUUGGGUUGAACAAAGCCAGGGUCAUCUGCAAAUGUGCUGGGUGCCAGGCAAUGAUAAUUAGUGCUUUGGCUGAAUACACAGUGGUACAGAGUCUGCAAAAGAGAGAGAUAAGCUAGCUCCCGUGCAUGGUCACCGUAACCCAGAGACUUGGCACAGGUGAGCAUCUGAAAGGGGUGGCUAGAGUAAAGCUGGACCUAGCCAUUUCUUCCCAGGAAGAACAGGACAGGGACAAGGAAUAAGAGGCCCAGAAAUCAACUGGAUCCCUGUAACCUGUGGGCACUGGCUGUGAGGGUCCUGAGAGUUGCCCUGCAUAUCAAUCUGCUUAUCAUUGCAUCAAAGACAUUCCCAGGCUGUCCUGUCUCUGUUGCCACAAGUAUCAGAGGGCUGGCCAGGAGCACCUGUCCCCAGAGACCGAUUGUGUUGACAAGUAGAACUGCCUCAAAGGGCACACGCUCCGAAAGCAGUCAUUUCCUGCUGAACAUGGUGGCCUUCCAGGGAUAGCAACGCCUGGGCUUCUGAGAUCUAAAUCCAAUGAGCGGUUUCCAGGGAGAAAACGCCUCUCUCCCAGGCCUGGUGCAGGACAAGGAAAGAACAUUGCCAUCUCCAUGCAAACAAUGACACAGCGGCCACAAGAGACCUCCUGCCACCAGAUCCAUAUAAGGCCCCUGUCAUAGGUGGAAGCCCGUAUCUCCUGCUUGACUUGUGCCUUCAGAUCCCACAGUUGGAACUUGUCCAUAGACUGGAAACUCACACCUUAUCCUUCCACUGUCUCUGGAGUUUGUUGGGAAGAGCUUUGUUUUCUCCUCUUGUGGCAUGGCUAUGUAGGGGUCAGUCAGUGCACCUCGAAUGGCACGGGGUGCAAGUUCAAAUGAGUGAGUCCCAUACUUGGUCUGAGUGACUGUGCAGGUGCGUAUAAUAAUGAGUGUGUGCAUGCCAGUAUGUUUGAUUGUGUGUGAGAGAGAGUGCCCUGUUAGCUCCCGAGUGUGUGUGCGCAAGUGCCUGUGCAUAUACCGUGAGUGUGUGCCUGUGUGCUUGUAUGUGUGCCCUAGGUUGUGUCUGGGUGGUGAAUGUGAGCACUUAGUGAACAUGUAAGUCUGUAUACACGUGUAUACCUGUGUAGCUGUGUGUGCCUUUCUGAGUGUGGUUGAAUGUUGAGAGUAGAAACCCAUGUGUUUGAGUGCGUGGGUGCAGAAGCACGUGCCUUUAUCCUUCCAUGCUUGGUUCCAAGGUCCAAAGAAGCCAGCCAGCCUCGAGCUCCCCAGCCAUGAAGGGAACCCUCGCCCUGGACCCGCUGGGCACGAGGGGGCGCCUCGCUACCGUAGCCGGGACGCGCUGGCCCCGGCGGCCCGGGGGCGGCUCACGGGGCGGUGCCGGACUCUUGAGCUGUGGGCUCUGGGGACGCUGCGCUCAGCCCCGAGGAGCCACGGCCCGGCACGCGGAGCAAGCAGCCAGAAGCCCGCGCCGGAGGGGUUUGAGAGGCGUUGACAGAGAUCUCAUGAGAUGGCACCAGAUGAAAAUAGUCAACUAGGAUGAGCCCCCACUUGGAAACCGUGAUCAAGGGAACAUUGUCCUACUGUCACCUCCAGCGGCUGCUGUUCACAUCAGGGAGGUUUAUAGGAAGCGCCCUCUGGAGUUUGUUUUGUGUGUUCUUCCUGGGUUCUUUCCGAUACCUCACAUGUGGACAAGAGAGGUGGGCAUGACUGGUGAUGACGGGCACGGUGUGGCCAAGCCUGGACCCUGUUCUUCCCACUCGGUCCCUGGUCCUCCAUCCAUAGCGUGGAGAGUCCUCUCCUGCACACAGGGUGGGUGCUCCUGGAACCACACACGGGUAGAUGAAGGGGGGUGUCUUUCCUGCAGCCUUGCUUUGUGUCACCCAUCCCUUCCCAUAAGCUGAGCAGGCUGACCCCAAGGUGCUGUGGUGGUACACCCUGAGCUGCCUGCCUUAAUACCUCAAGUAGCACAGCCCACAGGUUUGGGGUGGUGGUGGUGCAUAAUUGCCCCAAACACCGGCAAUGGAGGAAGGAUGUUUUACAAUGUCCUCCGCUGUGUAUCCCAGCGCUCCUCAAGCCAGCCAUUAAAAGCAUCUUGAUGUCUAACUUGAGUCCCUUCACUGCAGUUUGUUGACUGUGUUACCAUUGCUGGGAAUUUUUAUUGAGAUUCUAAUUGUUGUUUUUCCUUCAACACCCACACUGUUAGUACUGUGUUUGGAAAGUGAGAAAUCACAGAAUGUGAGUUGCAGAACAAACCCCAAAUUUGUUUGGCCACAAUAGUCUAAAAGAAGCAAACUUUCCCUCAGAUGUUGUCUCACUGGCAGACACAGCUGAGGAAGUCAGUGGAUUGUGUGAGUGAGAGCAUAAGAGGACCAGAGGCUUCCACCUGGUCUGGUCUGCUUCUGAAGAGCAAGAAGAUGCCCCCCCCCAAUGCAUUUCAGGGGCUGGAAGACGGAUCAGGUGUCUCAUGAGAAGCUCCACAGGAUUCCACCCUCCCAGUCUUGUGGUGCCUCUGAAAAUCUCCUGCUCAGUCAUGAGGCGCCAUCCUUGGAUGCAGGCAGAGGCCAAAUGGGAAACCUGGGCUCUGCCCACCUGCUGGUCAUGAGCUGCUGUUCAGUGCCUUGCAGCAUGGAGUCAGCCACAGUGGAGCGUCUGGCAACAUGGGACACAAGUGUCCAGAUUCCAGCAAAGAAGUCUCCCAUCACACAAAGAAUCGGGAAGAUCUCCAAAUGAGAGAGGAAGGUCAAUCAGCAGAUAUGAAGUCACGAUGACCAGACCCUAGAGUUACUGGACAGUGACGUAAGCUGCUAUUGUGGAGAUGCUCAGGUGAGCAGAGAUCUGGUGGCAAUGUGAGCUAGCAGGGCCUCCACAAUGGAACAGAAUACAUAAAUAAAAACUGACUAAACUGAGAAAUAUAAGAAGUUAAAUGGAAUUCUCCAGGGAUGGGCUCAGAGGCUGUUGGCAUAAACAGAUGAGAGUUAUUGAACCAGAGAGAGAAUGACCAACCCAUUGAGCUUGCUCUUCAGCUGUAACAACAAAUUCGGUGGUGAUACUCAGUUUGGGCAUGCUAAGGACCCAUCUUGCUGGAGGGAUGCAAAAUGGUCCAGCUUUUCUGGAAGAUACUUUGGCAGUUUCCUUUAGAAAUAAACUUGCAACAGUCAGCCAAUAUAGUAAAAAAUGAUAACUCAGACCUUGGUCUAAUUUAAAACUUUUUCUCUCUCCAGAGUGGGGCAGGAGGGUUGGGGCAUGCAGGGAUGUUUGUAGCAGCUUUGUUCACAAUAACAAAGUCCUGGAAAUAAGCAAAAUGCUCUUCCGCUUCUGAAUGCUUGGUUAAACUAUAGUCCAUCCUGCCAAUUAGGUGUGAAAAGGUGUCAUGUGCACAGAGGGCCAGGUCAUCUGUGCAGUGACGAGCAGAUCUCAAAAUAAUCGGACUCCGGGGUUCUGUUUUCUCAGCCUCCCAGAAUGGCUUGACUGUGGGACGAGAGAGCAGGCUGGUGACAUGGGGGGGGGGGUAAAGAGUGCUAUGGCAGGAGUAUGGUGUGUGCGGGCGGUGGAAGCAAGCAAAUGCUGGUAAGCUGGGUACUCUGGGUACUCAGCUAUAGGUUUUCAGGAGGUGUCUGUUGUAUUGCUGGGGAGAGGGGCGGCAGGAUCUCUCUGUGUUAUACUGAUGGUUUUAUGUGAGUCUGCAGAAAUCACAGUGUUAAAAGUCUCCGGGACAGUGACAGUAGCCUUGCCUUGUGCAUAGGAGCCAUUAGUCACCAGGUUCCCUCGUGCCUAUGGAUUUGGAGAGUAUGUCCCAUUAAUCAUAACUGAAAAACAUUUGUCAAUUUCUCUGUCAACAUUAUGGCUAAAAAAAAUGGAUCUAAUUAGCAAGCUCUCAGUCCAGUUCAUUACACACUCUUGUGCAUAUAUGAAAAUUAACACUUGGUAAUUGUGUCCCUUUGACAAAGGAAGUAAACCCAUUUCAAAAUAAAAUGACUGAAUUCAUAUAUGAGUUUAAGACUCAGAAAGAAAUUGUAGGAAUAAUAUUAACAUUCCAACUCAUAGUUUUACCACAAGCAUCUCCUGAAUCAUAUUUUACUUAAAACUGUUUACUUUAAAGCCAGGUGUGGUGACACAUGCCUAUGAUGUCAGCACUGGGGAGGCUGAAGCAAGAAGAUUGUUUUAAGUUCAAGACUUGCCUGGACAACGACAUAGUAAGAUCCUGUCUCAAACAAACAAACAAAUAAAAAUAUCUACUUCAGCUCCUUUCUCAACUUAUAAGUAAUCAUUACCCCAAUCCAUAUGAUGUUUUCAUUGGUAGAACAGGUAAAACUGAAAAUUAGCAAAUGUUGAGUAUUGACCUCCUGGUCGAUGGUCAGACGCUUUGUAAUUUUAAACGUUUCUCAGCUGCAGUCAUUCAAGAAUUGGUUAAGGGAAAGCGAAUUUCGUUUAGGUCACACAUGGCCUGCACAUGUGUGAAAACCUGUACUCUCAAAGCUUGUCUCUGCCUGGAAAAAAGACAAGCCUAAUGGAAGAGACUAGAAUAUUUCCUUGAGUACCUACAGAUUCAACUCAUUCUCCUUAAACCAAUUUAUGAAAAUAUCAGAGUCACACAGAUGGUCACACCCAUGAAAAGCUUUAUAUGAAGCUGGGAAGAUAGUCUUGCCAUUCAAUCAUGAGGGCUUGAGUUCAGUCUCCCAGAAUCCAUGUAAAAAGCAAGGCAUACUGACACAUUCUUGUAAUCCCAGAGCUGGGAAGGCAGAGACAAGCAGAUCUCUGGGGCUUGUUGGCCAGCUAGUACAGCCAACUUGUUUUCUCCCUCAUACACUCACACAGGUGCGUGCACACACAAACACACACUUAGCUUUGUUUGCCUGGGUAUCCUUAGCAGGAAAGGAUACCUUAGCAGGAAAUAAUACCUUAGCAGGAAAGUCUUUACAUCCUUAAAUGGUUGAAGCCUAAGCUUAGACCAAAGUUAGCCUCAGAGACUCCUCUUUGGAGUGCUGCAGCUUGGUGUGACAGGUCCUCUGACACCUGCCUACCCCAGGCUCAAUCACUCCUGGUAUGAUUAUUUUCAGAGUCAUUCACUCCAUGAUACUGAGCGAGUUCUGGCCCUUGGCACCAUAACACGUUGUGUUGGGUACUGUUUAUAUCCAUGUUUGGAGUGACAAAUGUGGAUCAACUUCCUUGACUAUCACUUGGUGUGAGAAACACUUCUACAGUGACAAACUGAAAUGUCUAUGGAAGUCUCCAUGUGUCCUCUGGUCUGGAGACCACUUGGGUUAUCUACCUAGCAGGAACUCAUUAGUUCAAGGGGAAUACUUGCCUUUGGUUCUCCUCCAGCUCUGACAUUGCUUGUUAUGGGAUAUUUGGUUGCACUGUGAUUCUCCCAGAAUGUCAAUAAAGUUAAACAUUGAAUCAAGGGGCAGAGUCCAUGACUGGCUGAUCAGAAUUUACCAUAGAGAUUUUGGAGGGCCCAGAUAGAGAGGCACAGGAAGAGAUAGAGAGGUGCUUUGAAAGGUUUGCAGACUUUUCGAUCUGGGAAAGCAGAGAAAGGGUCAGAUAGUCGUUCUUCCACUGCUUUCUUGAUCUAUCAGAUUUGUGCAUCAAUAUCUGACUCCCACGUUUUUUAUUAAUAACAAAACUGUGUAGGUAAAGGCUUCAGCUGCUCACUUGCGUCAUUCCUCCCAUCCCUCAUUGCUUUAGUAGUUCUCACAGCCCAGGUGUCAUUCCAGCCUUACAGAGAGGCUGGCACCUGUGCCUGGUCCCUCAUGUCCAGGGCACCCCCUCCCCAGGAUACUUCCUGAGCUCUGGAGUCUAUGUUGGGUAGAGUGUCAGUCUGUGGCGUGUGGGGGAGGGGGAGCCCACGCUCACCCAUCUAUGCUACAGAGUUCACCCUAGUUGCAGCCUCCGCUCCCCUGACCUCCCUCCUCCCACUGUAGUGUCAUGCACACAUCUGUGCACACACAGAGGCUUGCACCCAGACACAUGGAAGCAAAACCUGUUAGCCACCUAACCCAUGCCCCUCCCCCACCUCGGCAAGCCCAUUGUCAUCCAGCCCCUCCUGAAGGCAAUUUGGGUUUGUAUGAGGUUGAUUUGUUCUAAUCCUUUGCUAUUUGAUAGAGCUCUCAAUAAAAUCAUUUGAUGAUUUUAGAGGAAAAGUAGAUAUUUAAUUACUG